This 253-nucleotide ribosomal RNA is filed under the name uncultured bacterium. RNAcentral's name for it is "partial 16S ribosomal RNA". It matches the Rfam family "Bacterial small subunit ribosomal RNA", at positions 524 to 776 of the family's 1533-position model. The record is from RNAcentral.
UACGUAGGGUGCAAGCGUUAAUCGGAAUUACUGGGCGUAAAGCGUGCGCAGGCGGUUUUGUAAGUCAGAUGUGAAAUCCCCGGGCUUAACCUGGGAAUGGCAUUUGUGACUGCACGGCUAGAGUGUGUCAGAGGGGGGUAGAAUUCCACGUGUAGCAGUGAAAUGCGUAGAGAUGUGGAGGAAUACCGAUGGCGAAGGCAGCCCCCUGGGAUAACACUGACGCUCAUGCACGAAAGCGUGGGGAGCAAACAGG